RNAcentral lists this ribosomal RNA (1411 nucleotides) under Anochetus risii. Its description in RNAcentral is "partial 28S ribosomal RNA". It matches the Rfam family "Eukaryotic large subunit ribosomal RNA", at positions 364 to 1413 of the family's 3401-position model. The record is from RNAcentral. Lineage: Eukaryota; Metazoa; Arthropoda; Insecta; Hymenoptera; Formicidae.
UUGAAAAGAACUUUGAAGAGAGAGUUCAAGAGUACGUGAAACCGUUCAGGGGUAAACCUAAGAAACCCAAAAGAUCGAACGGGGAGAUUCAUCGUCAGCGCCGUCGGCUUCGCGUCGGUGGGCGAUGUUCGCGCGAUUCUCGCGCGGGCACGCUGCCGUGCGCGCAUGACCGGUUGUCGUCGUCGUGCACUUCUCCCCUAGUAGAACGUCGCGACCCGCUGGGUGUCGGUCUACGGCCCGGGUGAGGUGUCUGUCGCGUCGCCGGUAAAACGGCACGCGGCAAACCCCCGGACGCCCGGCCGGCUGCCCGGCGGUACUCGCACGGUAUCAGGCCGCAGCUAGUCUGCGUCAAGCCCGUCGCAAGCGCGCGCCACGGUUACUCGGAGGCACGGACCUAGCGCCGUCCCCGGUCCUGGCCCGCUGUUGGCCGACGGUGAUCCUUUGACAGGCCUUACGGGGCGACGCGCGCGCGGUAGGCUUCGGCUGUUCCGCGCGCGCGCCCGCCCCGAUACCGGUCGGCGACGCUACUGCUUUGGGUACUCUCAGGACCCGUCUUGAAACACGGACCAAGGAGUCUAACAUGUGCGCGAGUCAUUGGGACUAGCAAAACCCAAAGGCGCAAUGAAAGUGAAGGUCCGCCUUGGCAACUUGGCACCGAGGGAGGAUGGGCCGCGUCGCGAUGCGGCCUCGCACUCCCGGGGCGUCUCGUUCUCAUCGCGAGAAGAGGCGCACCAAGAGCGUACACGUUGGGACCCGAAAGAUGGUGAACUAUGCCUGGUCAGGAUGAAGUCAGGGGAAACCCUGAUGGAGGUCCGUAGCGAUUCUGACGUGCAAAUCGAUCGUCGGAACUGGGUAUAGGGGCGAAAGACUAAUCGAACCAUCUAGUAGCUGGUUCCCUCCGAAGUUUCCCUCAGGAUAGCUGGCACUCGGCCGUUCUACGGAACGCGAGCGAGUCUCAUCUGGUAAAGCGAAUGAUUAGAGGCCUUGGGGCCGAAACGACCUCAACCUAUUCUCAAACUUUAAAUGGGUGAGAUCUCUGGCUUUCUUGAACGUUGAAGCCACGAGAAUCUCGGAUCAGAGUGCCAAGUGGGCCAUUUUUGGUAAGCAGAACUGGCGCUGUGGGAUGAACCAAACGCAGAGUUAAGGCGCCUAACUCGACGCUCAUGGGACACCAUGAAAGGCGUUGGUUGCUUAAGACAGCAGGACGGUGGCCAUGGAAGUCGGAAUCCGCUAAGGAGUGUGUAACAACUCACCUGCCGAAGCAACUAGCCCUGAAAAUGGAUGGCGCUGAAGCGUCGAGCCUAUACUCUGCCGUCAGCGGCAAGUGGGGCGGAGGUUGGUGACCAACGCCAGCCGCCGUCACGAAGCCCUGACGAGUAGGAGGGUCGCGGCGGUGCGCGCAGAAGGGUCU